GGUGACGUCAUCGCCCUGGCGGGCGGCGACGCUGAGGCGACGUGACGCCGCGCGGAUGCUCGGAGGAGCACGUGACAGCUGAUGAUGUGCGGGGGGCGACAGUCCGGAGCGAAGGGGAACAAAGCGUCGGUGCAGUCAACACUGGCAGUAUCAGCCAACGAUGGUGGACCCCUGCGAGGCAGAGGAGCAGACCAUAUCCAUUGGCCCGCCACUCUGUGCCCCCACACUGGCCUCUGAAGACCACCGCUUGCCAGAUCAGGCCGAUGGCGCCACCACAGAGGAGGAAGGAGAUGCUUGCUUUCAGACGCCGCCCUCGGGCAGCUGCGAUCCGAGCCCUUGCCAUGUCGUUGGGUUGCCGGGUAACUCAGCUCCAGACGGCUCGUUUCCAGACGACUCAGUUACAGACGACUCGUUUCCAGAAGGCUCAGUUCCGUACGGAUCAGUUCCGGAAGGAUCAGUUCCGGACGGCUCAGUUCCAGACGGCUCGGUUCCAGACGGCUCGGUUCAGGCGGCGAUUUCAGCUCCACUGCCGCAGCCCAACAAUGACGAUCUGUCGCCCAAACUGCACCUGGACCUGUACAACUUUGACUCCCCUGCCGCAGAGGGCAGCCGCUACGUGCUGACCAGCCCCCGUUCGCUGGAGGCCUGUGCCCGAUGCAGCGUCAAACCCGUCGAGCUGCUGCCCCGCCCGCUGUCGGACAUUGCCCGGGAGGCGCCGGGUCGUUCCAUGCGGGUGGCUACGGGUCUGUUUGAAGUCUACGAGAAGGAGCGUCACGCAAAGCUGAGGCACUGCAGGGAGGAGAGGGAGCGCAUCAUCAGGGAGGAGAAGAGGAGGGCCAUGCAGGCGGCAGUCAAUAGCUCUCCUUCCUCUUCCUCGAUGGAGCAGCACAAAGUCUCCUGCAGUUCCUCGCAGUCUCCUACACCUGUGACCUCCAGUUUCGAUUCUGAAUCCACCCCUCCAGCACUGUCAUCUAAAGCAGGAGCACCUCUCCAAUCUAAAGCCUGUGGAACUACCAAAGCUGGCUCCUCAGGGCCCAAGCAGUCCACAUCUUCAUAUGAACAAGCUAAAACCACAAGACCACAGUCUGGUGGUCCUCCAGCGGUUGUCCGGAAGUCCUCUGGCAGCAAAUCGUCAAACACAUUUCCCAGGCCGACAUCUAAACCGCCAACUUUUGUCCGAGCCAAGUCAACCUUGACGUCAUCAGUGUCAAAACCGCAGAGCACCGGCACACCACUUAACGGUGGGUUCUCCAAGCACAAUGGUCACUUCCAUCCGAAUGCUAAAAGUCAUUCCACGGAGUCCUUGCAGAGAAAGAUGGAGCCCCCCUCCACCUCCAACACCACAACUUGCACAUCCUCAGAGUCCGGUGCUUCGUCGUCGUACAGUUGGGACGGUCCGCGGGACCACUGGGCAAAAGUAUCCAGCCCCCGCGCUCGCACCUUGGCCACGUUCAACUCUCUGAUGGGCCGUAGCCUUAGCCUGGGGGACCUGAGCCACUCCCCCCAGACCACGCAGAAGGUGGAGCGCAUCGUCAAGGAGGUGAAGCGGCGAGGCCUGAAUGCCGUGUCAGAGCGUGACCGCAAGAUCGCAGCGUUGAUGCUGGCUCGAUAUCAAGAGGAGGACAUCAUGAGCCAGACCCGCUACGUGGCCCACCUCCAGUGGGACAGCGAGCGCAGGAUGGAGGAGCUGCGGCAUGAGCAGGAGGAGCGGGACAAGCAGCGUGCUGUGAUGGAGUACCAGCGCUUGUGGCAGACUCAGGUGUCCAUACGCCAGCGCAGACUCAGCCAGCAGGAGCGACGCUCUGUCGCCGCCAAGUUGCGCCAGGCCGAGGAGAGCGAGAAGCACUGGAAGGAGCUAGCAGAGCAGCAGGAGCGCCAACGCCUGCAGAGGCUGCAGCAGGCGGCGCGGGAGGAGAAGCACAAGAAAGCCUUGCAGGAGCAGAACCUGAAGGCCUUGGAGGAGGAGCGAGCAGCCGUGCUGGAGCAGGAACGACUGCUGCUGAAGGAGAAGCUCACCAUUGCCGAGCUGAAGAGGCAGGAGAAGGAGCACCAAGCCCAGGAAGAUAGAAGAGGCCUCAACAAGGCGGAGAAGAGACGCCACGCCGCCUUGAUCCAGGAGAUCGCCCGACGAGAGCAGGAGGAGCGGGAGGAGGCCAAGAGGACGGCAGAGGAGAAGCUGAGCCGCUCCCUGGGGAACUACAAGCAGAUGGUGGAGCGCCGAGACCAGGAGCUGAAGGAGAAGGCCAGGCGUGAGGACAAGCAGAUCCAGCGUGCUCGCAAGGCCGCUGAGAAGCGUGAGAAGCAGCAGCAGCAGCAGCUGGAGGCCCGCGCCAAGGAGGCGGAGAAGCGCUCCCGACAGGCGGCGCUGGUGGCUGAGGAGCACGCCAAGGAGAAGGCCAAGCGUGCCGUCCAGUCCCGGCAGGAGAAGGAGCGCCUGCAGAGGCUCAACCGGCAGCGCGUGGAGGACGAGGAGAAGCAGCGGCGCGUGGACCUGCUGCAGUCCAUCGAGAGGAAGUUGGAAAAGAGCGAGCAGAUCUUCAAGGAGAAGCGAGCGGUGCUGGAGAGCGCUCGCUCCGUCGCCCGCGCCUCCUUCCACGUUCGCGACAAAGUGCGCGAGGAGACCAACAUGCGCACCUUUGACAAAAUGGCACUGGAAGCUCAGCUCAAAGCCAGCCUGGACGACAAGUAAGCGUCAGCGUUACCUUUUUUUCACCCCAAACUUUCCCCUCCAUCUCACCAGGAAUGAAGAUUUUCUAGUGCAGGAACAGGGUCUCCCUCCAUGGCCUUUAAAGGACAACUCUUGCAGCCAUCAGUCAGGACACCACAACGGAGAAUGGUGCUCCUGGCUGGAUUUGGACUGAGGAUGAAUCACCCACUCCUUGGUCCCGACUCCUCCUUGGUCCCGCCUCCUCCUUGGUCCCGCCUCCUCCCUGGUCCCGCCUCCUCCAUCUUCCUCCAGCCGCCCACAUGCUCAGCUCCCCAGGUGUGCAAGGUGAACCUCCAGGUGUCCCCAAGAAGAAGUCACCUUCCUUAACCAGGUGCACUUUGAGGAAUGAGAUCUUCACAAACAAGUCCAGUACCAAGUCCUCAACCCUCCCCCUCCCUCCAUCCUUCCAAAUGCUCAAUGUUAUCUCAAGCACACCCGUUGAGGUGUGGCUACGCUGCCCGGAGAACAAUCAAAUACCAAAAUAAAAAUGUUUUUUUCUUCUUUCUGAGUUGGAUUGGUGUGAUGUGUGUUUAGUGCAGAAUGAGGGCAAACUUUGUUCAUGUGUAUCUUACUUCCACAAGCCUAUUUGACAACUGCUAUUUUCCCUAAAAUGCUUCAAUAAUUCAAAAUUCAGCAUAAUGGGGUUACUAUGGCAAUAUACUGUAAAGCCCCAAACAAGGAUAUUUAACUACAAACUCCAAAAGCAGUGAAGUUGUCAGGUUGUGUAAAUGGUCAAUAAAAAGAGAAUACAACAAAUCCUUUUCAACUUAUAUUCAAUUGAAUAGACUGCAAAGACAAGAUAUGUCAUGUUCACACUCUACUUUGCAAAGCCACAGCUAUUUAUCAACAACACCCAGAAACGCUUCAACUGAGAAAGUUGAGGAAUGCUCACCAAAGACUUAUUUGGAACAUCCCACAGGUGAACAGGCUAAUUGGGAACAGGUGGGUGCCAUGAUUGGGUAUAAAAGCAGCGUCCAUGAAAUGCUCAGUCAUUCACAAACAAGGACGGGGCGAGGGUCACCACUUUGUCAACAAAUGCCUGAGCAAAUUGUUUAAGAACAACAUUUCUCAACAAGGAAUUUAGGGAUUUCACCAUCUACGCUCCGUAAUAUCAUCAAAAGGUUCAGAGAAUGUGGAGAAAUCACUGCACGUAAGCCAUGAUAUUACACACCUUCCAUCCCUCAGGCAUCAAAAAGCCACAUCAGUGUGUAAAGGAUAUCACCACGUGGGCUCAGGAACACUUCAGAAAACCACUGUCAGUAACUACAGUCGGUCGCUACAUCUGUAAGUGCAAGUUAAAACUCUACUAUGCAAAGCCAAAGCCAUUUAUCAACAACACCCGAGCUCAUCUAAGAUGGACUGAUGCAAAGUGGAAAAGUGUUCUGUGGUCUGACGAGUCCACAUUUCAAUAUGUUUUUGAAAACUGUGGACCAAAGAGGGG
This is an RNA transcript of Nerophis lumbriciformis (worm pipefish), 4148 nucleotides long. It is a transcript of the gene named coiled-coil domain containing 177, with no coding region annotated. NCBI's taxonomy places the organism in Eukaryota, Metazoa, Chordata, Actinopteri, Syngnathiformes, Syngnathidae. The record is from RefSeq and is a predicted model, not a curated record.